Molecule: long non-coding RNA, 493 nt
Filed under: Mytilus galloprovincialis (Mediterranean mussel)
Lineage: Eukaryota; Metazoa; Mollusca; Bivalvia; Mytilida; Mytilidae
Source: RNAcentral
AACAAGAGUGCACACACUGGAAUGUCUCGCCUUCUUUACUAAUCAUUGAUAUUAUGUUGAUAGUCCUAAUAAUAAAGCUUUAUUACAACUGUCACAUAAACUUAACAUAAACCAAGAAAACUAAACAUUGACCUUUGAACCAUGAAAAUGAGGUCAAGGUCAGAUGAACCAUGCCAGGUAGGCAUGUACAGCUAACAAUUCUUCCAUACAACAAAUAAAAUUGACUUGUUGCUUAAGAAAAACAGACCAAAACACAAAAGCUUAACACUGAGCAAUGAACCGUAAAAAAUGAGGUCAAGGUCAAAUAAAACCUGCGCGACUGACAGGUAGGUCAUAAAAUAUUUCCAUACACCAAAUAUAGUUGACCUAUUGCAUAUAGUAUUAGAAAAAAAGGCCAAAACUCAAAAACUUAACUUUGACCACUGAACCAUGAAAAUGAGGUCAAGGUCAGAUGACACCUGCCAGUUGGACAUGUACACCUUACAGUGCUUCC